GGCGCGAAAACUUUGCAAUAAGCGAAAGCUUGACAGGGCUAUCCCGAGUGCCAUCCGCUGAGGAAGGCUUUUACCCAGUCUAGAACGCUGGGGGAAUAAGGAGAGGGCAAGUCUGGUGUCAGCCGCCGCGGUAAUACCAGCUCUCCGAGUGGUGUGGAUGUUUAUUGGGCCUAAAGCAUCCGUAGCUGGCUAGGUUAGUCCCCUGUUAAAUCCACCGAAUUAAUCGUUGGAUUGCGGGGGAUACUGCUUGGCUAGGGGACGAGAGAGGCAGACGGUAUUUCCGGGGUAGGGGUGAAAUCCUAUAAUCCCGGGAAGACCACCAGUGGCGAAGGCUGUCUGCUAGAACGCGCCCGACGGUGAGGGAUGAAAGCUGGGGGAGCGAACCGGAUUAGAUACCCGGGUAGUCCCAGCUGUAAACGAUGCAGACUAGGUGUUUGAACGGCCACGUGCCGUUCUAGUGCCGCAGGGAAGCUGUUAAGUCUGCCGCCUGGGGAGUACGAUCGCAAGAUUGAAACUUAAAGGAAUUGGCGGGGGAGCAC
Molecule: ribosomal RNA, 539 nt
Filed under: uncultured archaeon
Lineage: Archaea
Description: bacterial SSU rRNA
Rfam family: Archaeal small subunit ribosomal RNA
Source: RNAcentral